Molecule: ribosomal RNA, 500 nt
Filed under: uncultured bacterium
Lineage: Bacteria
Description: partial 16S ribosomal RNA
Rfam family: Bacterial small subunit ribosomal RNA
Source: RNAcentral
AUUGAACGCUGGCGGCAUGCCUUACACAUGCAAGUCGAACGGCAGCACGGGAGCAAUCCUGGUGGCGAGUGGCGAACGGGUGAGUAAAGUAUCGGAACGUGCCCAGUCGUGGGGGAUAACGUAGCGAAAGUUACGCUAAUACCGCAUACGAUCUAUGGAUGAAAGCGGGGGAUCGCAAGACCUCGCGCGAUUGGAGCGGCCGAUAUCAGAUUAGGUAGUUGGUAGGGUAAAGGCCUACCAAGCCGGCGAUCUGUAGCUGGUCUGAGAGGAUGAUCAGCCACACUGGGACUGAGACACGGCCCAGACUCCUACGGGAGGCAGCAGUGGGGAAUUUUGGACAAUGGGCGCAAGCCUGAUCCAGCCAUUCCGCGUGCAGGAUGAAGGCCUUCGGGUUGUAAACUGCUUUUGUACAGAACGAAAAGGCUCUGGUUAAUACCCGGGGCUCAUGACGGUACUGUAAGAAUAAGCACCGGCUAACUACGUGCCAGCCGCCGCCGUAA